Perca fluviatilis (European perch) is the source of this 1773-nucleotide long non-coding RNA. RefSeq lists it as uncharacterized. Lineage: Eukaryota; Metazoa; Chordata; Actinopteri; Perciformes; Percidae. The transcript is spliced from 3 exons. The record is from RefSeq and is a predicted model, not a curated record.
GCCUCUUUCUUUGUGACUUUAAGGGAAACUCAACAUUAAACAAAUAAUACAGGUGUGUUUUUACAGACUUAGACUACCAGCUUGCAAAAAUAAAUAAAUAGGGAAAUUAAAUACUCCACCCUUAAAGAUCCCCAACAAUAAUGUGUGUCUGACAUGUUUUUUCCCCGCAAAAAAAGUAUAAUCCCACAUUAAAAUCCUUAAAAACUCCCUCUUUCCACUUUUAGCAGAUAAAUGUGAAAACAGCCUUCUGGUGUCAAAGUCUGCACAAACAUCAUUCUGCGCUAUGAAACUCAAACAUCCAGCGUUGGAACAACAAAACACUUAUUUUUGAGUGGAGGGUGACUUUAAGGCUGCUAAAAGCCAUACACUGAGUAAGAAUUUAAUUACCUUCAUUGGAAUAAUUAAACAGUGUUUUGCAGCCAGAGCAUGAAACACUUCGAGCCACCGCAGCUGAAGGUAUAUAAAGAGUGCGUUUCCUCUCCCUCAAUAACAGCUACCUGUUGCUGCAACUGCAACUUUAUCAGAUCAUCACGACAAAGGUAAGACUGCAGGAUUCACUCUUUGAUCUCAGCAUCAAAUAAUGAUUAUUGUUCUGUAUUUUUUUAUCAUUAGGUAUAACUUUUAUUUCCCUUCAAAAAGCGAAAUCUUUUUUACAGAUUCCACCAGAUCAGUAUCACACUCACUUUCUUUAUUACUGCUGGUCACUGCAGUAGACAGAUAUAAAGACAAUAAUUGAUGCACUGCAAUAGUUAUCAAACAUAUUCUUUUUUGCUCUGUUCAUCUCUGAUUCAUUAUAGCCUCAUUUGAUUACGAGUCACACAAUUGUAACUCAUGGAAAACAUGUUUAAAGGAGCCCUUCUACUUUGUCGAAAUGCAAAUGUGAAGAAAAAAAACUUCAGAGUCCAGAGUUCUUAGGGGCAGAGGGGAGGGGAGGGAGAGAGGGGAGGGUGUUGAGCUUCCUGACUGCCUGGGGAAUGAAGCUGUUUGCCAGUCAGGUGGAACAGGCUUGGUUGCUCCGGUACCGUCUCCCAGAUGGCACGAAGCUGAAGAGGCUGUGUGAGGGGUGGCUGAGGUCACCCACAAUGCUGGUUGCUUUGCGGCAUGUCUGCCAUCUAUACCAGGCAAAUCUGGUCUCUAUCAAAAGUGAAGAAGAGAAGAACUUUUUGAGAGCUUUGGUUGGACUAUCUGGACUGGGGGCACUGAUGCUGUUGAGGAUCAUGAAUGGCAGUGGACUGAUGGCACCAUGUUCAACAGCAUCAUCUGAAAAACGGCAGUCCUCAAGAGGGAAAUAUAAAGCUAAUCAGAGCGUUUCCAUGACCACAGUAGUAAACAAACAUGGCAUCUGUGGAGGAACGUGUACUAGGACGAAUAAAGGAAAAAAACAGACGACUUUCACUUUUAAAAUUGUAUUUCAUAAAAUAAUUCUAUGUCAAGAUGCCUUAACCUGUUCCCACAGAUAUAUAUUUUGGUGACCUUGACUGUAAGGCAAAACGAUCUUAUUUCUGCAUUAAGUACCUGUAAUGGCCACCAUAUCACAUCUUUCAUGAUGAUGACUUCACAUCCACUUCCGAGACGUAAGGCCUUGAUGAUGUCAACGUUGGAGAGUUUGUUGCUAAUAUUGAUCCACUUCCAAUUAACUCAGUAAACACAGCAUUUAUUCUCAAUGUAAAGAAGCCAAUAUUUCAGUCUGCAGAUUGUGAUUUCAUUUAAUAAACUGGUGGAAUUGAAAGUGAACUGAAAGCUGCUUGCAUUCAAUAAAGACAAUAACUGUUC